UACGUAGGGGGCGAGCGUUGUCCGGAUUUACUGGGCGUAAAGGGCGCGUAGGCGGCCAGCACAAGUCAGUUGUGAAAUCUCCGAGCUUAACUCGGAAAGGUCAACUGAUACUGUGCGGCUAGAGUGCGGAAGGGGCAACUGGAAUUCUUGGUGUAGCGGUGAAAUGCGUAGAUAUCAAGAGGAACACCUGCGGCGAAGGCGGGUUGCUGGGCCGACACUGACGCUGAUGCGCGAAAGCUAGGGGAGCGAACGGG
RNAcentral lists this ribosomal RNA (254 nucleotides) under uncultured bacterium. RNAcentral describes it as "partial 16S ribosomal RNA". It matches the Rfam family "Bacterial small subunit ribosomal RNA", at positions 524 to 776 of the family's 1533-position model. The record is from RNAcentral.